RNAcentral lists this ribosomal RNA (750 nucleotides) under uncultured bacterium. RNAcentral describes it as "bacterial SSU rRNA". It matches the Rfam family "Bacterial small subunit ribosomal RNA", at positions 40 to 804 of the family's 1533-position model. The record is from RNAcentral.
GGGCGGGCUUACAUGGCAGUCGAACGGACUCAUAUUGAAACCUAGUGAUUUAUGAGUUAGUGGCGGACGGGUGAGUAACGCGUGGAUAACCUGCCGUAUACCGGGGGAUAACACUUAGAAAUAGGUGCUAAUACCGCAUAAGCGCACGGCUCCGCAUGGGGCAGUGUGAAAAACUCCGGUGGUAUACGAUGGAUCCGCGUCUGAUUAGCUAGUUGGCGGGGUAACGGCCCACCAAGGCAGCGAUCAGUAGCCGGCCUGAGAGGGUGGACGGCCACAUUGGGACUGAGACACGGCCCAAACUCCUACGGGAGGCAGCAGUGGGGAAUAUUGCACAAUGGGGGAAACCCUGAUGCAGCGACGCCGCGUGAGUGAAGAAGUAUCUCGGUACGUAAAGCUCUAUCAGCAGGGAAGAAAAUGACGGUACCUGACUAAGAAGCCCCGGCUAACUACGUGCCAGCAGCCGCGGUAAUACGUAGGGGGCAAGCGUUAUCCGGAUUUACUGGGUGUAAAGGGAGCGUAGACGGCAGCACAAGUCUGGAGUGAAAUCCCGGGGCUUAACCCCGGAACUGCUUUGGAAACUGUGCGGCUGGAGUGCAGGAGGGGUAAGCGGAAUUCCUAGUGUAGCGGUGAAAUGCGUAGAUAUUAGGAGGAACACCGGUGGCGAAGGCGGCUUACUGGACUGUAACUGACGUUGAGGCUCGAAAGCGUGGGGAGCAAACAGGAUUAGAUACCCUGGUAGUCCACGCCGUA